RNAcentral lists this long non-coding RNA (3400 nucleotides) under Marmota monax (woodchuck). Lineage: Eukaryota; Metazoa; Chordata; Mammalia; Rodentia; Sciuridae. The record is from RNAcentral.
GCGCGAGGCGCUGGGUUCGGUCCUCAGCACCACAUAAAAAUAAAAUAAAGAUGUUGUGUCCACCAAAAACUAAAAAUAAAUAUUUUUUAAAAAUUCUCUCUCUAAAAAAAUAAAAUGGACAACUUAUGCCCACAAAUUUGAUAACUUAAUAAAAUGAACUCAUUUCUUGAAAUAAUCUGCCAAGAUUCACACAAGAAGAAAUUGGCAAUCUGCAUAAGCCUAUAUCUAUUAAAGAAAUUAAAUCAAGAGUUAAUAACCUUCAAAGCAUUAAGAACUACGCCCAGAUGGGUUCACUGGUAAAUUAUAUCAAACAUUUUAAGGAAGAUAUUACCCCAGUGCACUACAGACUCAUCCAGAAGAUAGAAGCAGAAGGAAAGGUAAGCAUUAUCCCAAUACCAAAAACAGACAAAGAUUUGAAAAGAGAAGAAAACAUACCAGUAUUUCUUGUGAAUAGAGAUGCAAAAAUUAUCAGCAGAACAUUUGCAAACUGAGUCCAAAAAUCAUCAACAAAAAAAUAUUAAUACACCAUGACCAAGGAACUUUUAUCCCAGGUGUUCAAGUUUGGUUUGGAAGUGGAAAGUCACUUAAUUCAGUUGAUCACAUAAACAAGCUAAAGAAGAAAAUAUGAAUAGAUUCAAUAAAUACAAACAAAGCAUUUAACAAAACACAACCCCCAUUCUUGAUUUAAACAACAAAAAUCACACCAUCUUGGUAAAAUAGGAAUAGAGGGGAACUUUUCCAGUUUUAUAAAGAACAUCUACAAAAACCAGAUAGCUAACAUCAUAAUUAAUUGUGAGAGACAAACUUUGCCUGCUAAGAUAGAACAAGACAGGGGUAUCCCCUGUUAACACUUUUCACUUUUCAACAUUGUACCAAAAGUUGUAACAAGGCAAUAAGAAAAAAAUAAAGGAAGUGAAAGGGAGAGAUGGAAGGGUGGUAUAUAGGUUGAGAAGGAAGAAAUAAAACUGUCUUUGGAGAUGACAUUAUGUAGAAAAUCUGAAUAUCAGUAAAAAUAUAGAAUAAGUGUUUAUAGCAAGAUUAUAGGGUACAAGGUUAAGAUACAAAAAUGAGUUGCUUUUUUAUAUACCAGUUAAUGAAUCAGUGGAACUUGGUGUUAAAAACACAAUGCCGUUUACAUUAGUAUUCCCCCCCACAAAUGAAUACUUUUUUUUAGGUAUAAAUCUAACAAAAUAUGUACAAAAUCUAUGAGGAAAACUAGAAAACUAAUGAAAGAAAUCAAAGAACUAAAUAAAUGCAGAGAAAUUCCAUGUGGAUAAGAAGACUUAGCCCUGUCACAAUGUUUUUUUCCAACUCAAUUUAUACAUUGAAUGCAAUCCCAUUCAAAAUCAUAGCAAGACAUUUUGUGAACAUCGACAAACUGAUUCUAAAGUUCAUGAGGAGAAUACAUCCAACUCCAUAUUGAGGGAGAACAGAAGACUGACAGUACCUGACGUCAAAGGUCAACAGUAAAGCUACAGUCAUCAUGACAGUGUGGUAAGGCAAAAGAAUAGACAGAGUAGAGAACUCAGAAAUAGAUCCACAUUAGUCAGCCGAUCUUGACACAGGAGAAGACAGCCUUCAGAACAAAUGGUGCUGGAACAGCCGGAUACCCAUAUGCCAAAAUAUAUUUUUAAAAGAAUGUAAACAAAGACUUUUUAAAAAUACUCAAAAUUGAUCACAGACCUACAUGUAAAAUGCAAAACUAUAUAACUAUGCAACUCCUAGACAGUAAUAUAGGAGAAAAUCUCCAUGACCCUGGGAAUGGCAAUGACUUUUUAAGUAAAACACAAAAGGAAAAAUCCAUGAAAGAAUUGAUAAGCUGAAAUUCUUUCAAAUUAAAAGCAUCUUCUCUGUGAAGAUAUUGUUAAGAAAAUGAGAAGACAGCUACAGACUGGGAGAAAGUGUUUGCAUAAGCUGUGUCUGAUGCAGGUCUGUUAACUAAAAUAUACAAAGAACUCAUAAAAAUCAACAAUGUGAAACUAAUGACCCAAUUACAAAGGAGCAAAGGACCUGAAAAGACACUUCACCAAAGAAAAUAUACAGAUAGCAAAUAGCCAUAUGUUCAACUUUAGGCCAUUAGAGAAUUGUAAAUAAAACAGUGAGAUACUGCUGUACACUUAUGAGAAAGGCAAAUGUUGAAAUUCUAACAUCACCAAAUGAUGUCAAGGAUUUGCAGGGGAUCCUCAGCCAUGGCUGGUAGCAAUGCAAAAUGCCUAAGUAAAUUUGUUUUUUUAAUAAAUUAUCCAGUCUGCGAUAUUAGUUACAGCAAGAGAAAAUGGAAUACGUUGGUAGAUGAAUGGAUAAUGCAUUGUGGUGCAUUAAGACAAUGGAAUGUUAUUCAUUGAUGAAAAAUAAGUGAGCUUAAGUGCAUAUUACCAUUUAAAGGAAGCCAGUCUGGAGCCCAACCAUGGAGCCAUUCAUUUAGUGGGGGUGCAGAUUGCAGGAGCCAGCACUCCUGUAAUCCCAGCAAUUUGGGAGACUGAGGAGGAUUGCAAGUUUGAGCCCAGCCUCAGCAACUUAGUGAGACCUUGCCUCAAUAUAAAAAGAAGGGCAUUUGUGGGUUCAAUCCCUAGUACCAAAUAAAUAAAUAGGCCCAUCUGAAAAGGUGACACAGUGUUUGAUUCCACCUUUAUGGACUUGUGGAAAAGGCAAAAACUGUGGAAACAGUAAAAAGAUCAGUGGUUACCAGGGCUUAGCAGUGAGAGAGGGAAGAAUAAGCAGAGCACAGAGGAUUUUAGGGUAGUGAAACCAUUCUAUCCAAUACUGUUACUGUGAAAACUUGGAAUUAUACAUUUGUCCAAACCCAUAGAAUGUACAGCACCAGGAGUGAACCCUAUCUGUAAACUAUGGACCUUGGUAAUAGUUUAUCGCUGUGGGUGCAUAAGUUAUGACAAAUGUGUCAUUGAUGCAGAUGUUGAAAGUUGUGUGUGGGUGGAGGUGGGGAGUCUGUGGGAAACUCUGUACUUUCCUCUCUGCCAUAAACUUAAAACUUCUCUAAAAAAAUAGUCUUAAAAAAAUCUUCUAGCAGGGACUAGGGUUGUGGCUCAGCUGUAGAGCACUUGUCUGACUUGUGUGAAACACUGUGUUCGAUUCUCAGUACUACAUAUGAAUAAAUAAAAUAAAGGUCUAUCAAACAACUAAAAAAAUUUUUUUUAAAUCUUUUAGCAAAGAAAAGUUGAGGACCACAGAUGACUAACCUCAUGAGUUCUACUAAGCCUUAAAAGAAGAAUUAACACUUCUUUUCAAACUCUUCUAAGAAAUAAGAGGAGGACAUUUCAUAUCUAAGGCCAGUAUUACCCUCACACCAAAGACAAAGAUAUACAAGAAAAUUAUAGCCCCUUCCUUCAUAAACAUACUAAGUAAUAUUUAUGAUUGCAUUAAAGUGAAGAUGAAUAUAACU